RNAcentral lists this ribosomal RNA (250 nucleotides) under uncultured bacterium. Its description in RNAcentral is "partial 16S ribosomal RNA". It matches the Rfam family "Bacterial small subunit ribosomal RNA", at positions 355 to 602 of the family's 1533-position model. The record is from RNAcentral.
UGAGGAAUAUUGGUCAAUGGACGCAAGUCUGAACCAGCCAUGCCGCGUGAAGGAUGAAGGCCUUCUGGGUUGUAAACUUCUUUUAUGUGGGAAGAAACCUCUGAUUUCUAUUAGAGUUGACGGUACCAUAGGAAUAAGCACCGGCUAACUCCGUGCCAGCAGCCGCGGUAAUACGGAGGGUGCAAGCGUUAUCCGGAUUUACUGGGUUUAAAGGGUGUGUAGGCGGAUCUUUAAGUCAGUGGUGAAAUCU